ACAGGGAUUACCUCAGUAACGGCGAGUGAAGCGGUAACAGCUCAAAUUUGAAAUCUGGCUCUUUCAGGGCNCGAGUUGUAAUUUGUAGAAGAUGCUUUGGGCGUGGCUCCGGUCUAAGUUCCUUGGAACAGGACGUCAUAGAGGGUGAGAAUCCCGUACGUGACUGGGUGCCUUUGUCCGUGUAAAGCUCUUUCGACGAGUCGAGUUGUUUGGGAAUGCAGCUCAAAAUGGGUGGUAAAUUUCAUCUAAAGCUAAAUAUUGGCCAGAGACCGAUAGCGCACAAGUAGAGUGAUCGAAAGAUGAAAAGCACUUUGGAAAGAGAGUUAAACAGUACGUGAAAUUGUUGAAAGGGAAGCGCUUGCAAUCAGACUUGCGUGUGGUUGAUCAUCCGAGCUUUCUGCCCGGUGCACUCGAUCAUACUCAGGCCAGCAUCGGUUUGGGCGGUUGGAUAAAGGCCUUGGGAAUGUGGCUCCUCUCGGGGAGUGUUAUAGCCCUCGGUGCAAUGCAGCCUGUCCGGACCGAGGACCGCGCUUCGGCUAGGAUGCUGGCGUAAUGGUUGUAAGCGACC
RNAcentral lists this ribosomal RNA (568 nucleotides) under uncultured fungus. RNAcentral describes it as "eukaryotic LSU rRNA". It matches the Rfam family "Eukaryotic large subunit ribosomal RNA", at positions 68 to 649 of the family's 3401-position model. Lineage: Eukaryota; Fungi. The record is from RNAcentral.